Erpetoichthys calabaricus (reedfish) is the source of this 748-nucleotide long non-coding RNA. RefSeq lists it as uncharacterized. The transcript has 5 exons. The record is from RefSeq and is a predicted model, not a curated record. Lineage: Eukaryota; Metazoa; Chordata; Cladistia; Polypteriformes; Polypteridae.
AAAAAAUACAAUUAAUUUGUCUCAUCUGUUUUCAGAUAACUCUUUAGGAGAUGAUACACCUUUUUGGGCUAAAGCAUCUCUCAUUGGAUCAGCAAUUUUAAUCACCAUUGCUGUUAUCGUAAUAAUUGUGUAUUGUUCCAAAAGAAGGCAGCAGGCAGAGGUCCCUCUUCAAAAUCAGCCACAAUUACGCCAAGAAGAUUUUUACAGUGAAAUUCCCAGAGACACUUCUUUAUCUAAGAAAAAACGCAAUAAGAAGCAGGAGAUUCCCCAGAGGGCUCCUGAAGAAAAUGAGUCAGAUCUGCAAUAUGUCCAGUUGAAUCUGAAGAAAAGUGCCCACAGAAUGCCACCAGCAGUUGAGGAAAAGGUGUAUUAUUCAUCAGUUAAUACCCGCAGAUUGAACCAUCAAAGUUGAAUUCCUAGCAGAAUUUUUAUCCACUCAAAUUUUCAUUAUUUUCAAAUCUGACUGAAUCUGCCAUAGAAUGCUCCCUGUUUCAGCACUGACCUUGUAUCUCUAUAUCAUUCAUUUUAGAUUUUUGAAUACUAGGUAGAUAGUAAUUUAUUUUGUAUUGAGGUCUGUAUUAUUUUAUUAUUUAAAAGUGGGCAUUUUCUAUAAUUUGUUUUAAAAUUAUUAUUGACAAAAUGGCUUCUAAAAGUCACACUUUUGUUAAAUGCUUUCCAGCAAUCCACAACCUUAAAUGUUAGAACAGACAAUGAGGCUUCCACCACCAUACCAUCCAAUGCUAUCAAA